This 253-nucleotide ribosomal RNA is filed under the name uncultured bacterium. RNAcentral's name for it is "partial 16S ribosomal RNA". It matches the Rfam family "Bacterial small subunit ribosomal RNA", at positions 524 to 776 of the family's 1533-position model. The record is from RNAcentral.
UACGAAGGGGGCUAGCGUUGCUCGGAAUCACUGGGCGUAAAGGGUGCGUAGGCGGGUCUUUAAGUCAGGGGUGAAAUCCCAAGGCUCAACCUUGGAACUGCCUUUGAUACUGGGGAUCUCGAGUCCGGAAGAGGUUGGUGGAACUGCGAGUGUAGAGGUGAAAUUCGUAGAUAUUCGCAAGAACACCAGUGGCGAAGGCGGCCAACUGGUCCGGUACUGACGCUGAGGUGCGAAAGCGUGGGGAGCAAACAGG